ACAAGCGUGGAGUAUGUGGUUUAAUUCGAUGCAACGCGAAGAACCUUACCUGGUCUUGACAUCCCGGAGACCCUUAGGAAACGUAGGGGUGCUUCCAUCUGGAAGAAUCUGGAGACAGGUGCUGCAUGGCUGUCGUCAGCUCGUGUCGUGAGAUGUUGGGUUAAGUCCCGCAACGAGCGCAACCCUUGCCUUUAGUUGCCAGCAGUUCGGCUGGGCACUCUAAAGGGACUGCCGGUGUUAAACCGGAGGAAGGUGGGGAUGACGUCAAGUCCUCAUGGCCUUUAUGACCAGGGCUACACACGUACUACAAUGGCCGAUACAAAGGGCAGCGACACUGCGAGGUGAAGCCAAUCCCGUAAAAUCGGUCUCAGUCCGGAUUGGAGUCUGCAACUCGACUCCAUGAAGUUGGAAUCGCUAGUAAUCGUGGAUCAGCAUGCCACGGUGAAUACGUUCCCGGGCCUU
This 462-nucleotide ribosomal RNA is filed under the name uncultured Desulfobulbus sp. RNAcentral describes it as "bacterial SSU rRNA". It matches the Rfam family "Bacterial small subunit ribosomal RNA", at positions 925 to 1382 of the family's 1533-position model. The record is from RNAcentral. Lineage: Bacteria; Pseudomonadati; Thermodesulfobacteriota; Desulfobulbia; Desulfobulbales; Desulfobulbaceae.